This 543-nucleotide ribosomal RNA is filed under the name Saccoglossus mereschkowskii. Its description in RNAcentral is "partial 16S ribosomal RNA". It matches the Rfam family "Archaeal large subunit ribosomal RNA", at positions 1938 to 2651 of the family's 2987-position model. The record is from RNAcentral. Lineage: Eukaryota; Metazoa; Hemichordata; Enteropneusta; Harrimaniidae.
UGGGGGGUACUGCCUGCCCAGUGAAUAAACUUCAACGGCCGCGGUAUCCUGACCGUGCAAAGGUAGCACAAUCACUAGUCUCCUAAAUAGGGACCAGUAUCAAUGGCAAGACGAGGGCUCAACUGUCUCCCCUCUUACAAAUUAAACUUCUCUAGUCGUGCAAAAGCGACCAUAAAAGCGUCAGACGAGAAGACCCUAUCGAGCUUUAGAGAGCAAAACAAAGGCUGGAGCCAACUGCCGCUUCAUAAAUUUAAAUUUACUAUUAACAACGCCUACCCCUCUGUCCCUUCCACUUCCAUACUCUCUUUGGUUGGGGCAACCACGGAGCACAAUAAACCUCCGAAUUAACCUUUCCCCAGAUUCUAAAUCAAAAAUUAUGACUCCUAGAACCCAUGACCCAGAAACUUCUGACCAUUAAAUAAGUUACCGUAGGGAUAACAGCGUAAUCCCUUCCAAGAGUCCGCAUUGCCGAAGGGGUUUGCGACCUCGAUGUUGGAUCGGGUCAUCCUGAUGGUGCAGCCGCUAUCAAGGGUUGGUCUGUUC